This 580-nucleotide ribosomal RNA is filed under the name Fusarium sp. BAB-3397. RNAcentral describes it as "eukaryotic LSU rRNA". The stretch from base 182 to 335 matches the Rfam family "5.8S ribosomal RNA". The record is from RNAcentral. Lineage: Eukaryota; Fungi; Ascomycota; Sordariomycetes; Hypocreales; Nectriaceae.
GUUUCCGUAGGUGAACCAGCGGAGGGAUCAUUACCGAGUUUACAACUCCCAAACCCCUGUGAACAUACCUAUACGUUGCCUCGGCGGAUCAGCCCGCGCCCCGUAAAACGGGACGGCCCGCCCGAGGACCCUAAACUCUGUUUUUAGUGGAACUUCUGAGUAAAACAAACAAAUAAAUCAAAACUUUCAACAACGGAUCUCUUGGUUCUGGCAUCGAUGAAGAACGCAGCAAAAUGCGAUAAGUAAUGUGAAUUGCAGAAUUCAGUGAAUCAUCGAAUCUUUGAACGCACAUUGCGCCCGCCAGUAUUCUGGCGGGCAUGCCUGUUCGAGCGUCAUUUCAACCCUCAAGCUCAGCUUGGUGUUGGGACUCGCGGUAACCCGCGUUCCCCAAAUCGAUUGGCGGUCACGUCGAGCUUCCAUAGCGUAGUAAUCAUACACCUCGUUACUGGUAAUCGUCGCGGCCACGCCGUUAAACCCCAACUUCUGAAUGUUGACCUCGGAUCAGGUAGGAAUACCCGCUGAACUUAAGCAUAUCAAUAAGCGGAGGAAAAGAAACCAACAGGGAUUGCCCUAGUAACUG